Molecule: ribosomal RNA, 468 nt
Filed under: uncultured bacterium
Lineage: Bacteria
Description: partial 16S ribosomal RNA
Rfam family: Bacterial small subunit ribosomal RNA
Source: RNAcentral
GACGAACGCUGGCGGCGUGCUUAACACAUGCAAGUCGAACGGAAAGGCCCUGCUUUUGUGGGGUGCUCGAGUGGCGAACGGGUGAGUAACAAGUGAGUAACCUGCCCUUGACUUUGGGAUAACUUCAGGAAACUGGGGCUAAUACCGGAUAGGAGCUCCUGCUGCAUGGUGGGGGUUGGAAAGUUUCGGCGGUUGGGGAUGGACUCGCGGCUUAUCAGCUUGUUGGUGGGGUAGUGGCUUACCAAGGCUUUGACGGGUAGCCGGCCUGAGAGGGUGACCGGCCACAUUGGGACUGAGAUACGGCCCAGACUCCUACGGGAGGCAGCAGUGGGGAAGAGUGCACAAUGGGAGGAAGCCUGAUGCAGCAACGCCGCGUGCGGGAUGACGGCCUUCGGGUUGUAAACCGCAUUCGCCUGUGACGAAGCGUGAGUGACGGUAAUGGGUAAAGAAGCACCGGCUAACUACGUG